AUGCAUGCGCGUGUACUUAAUUCUUCAUUAUCUAUGAUAUAAGUUGUGUUAUGAAAGUGUAUCCGUGUGACUUACGAGAUCUAUGUAACAAUUGAUUCCAUGUUCCUUUAAGCUUUUAUUUUAUGUCAGUUUGACACUGACACUGAAACUGUUUUUCGUCUAGUUUUUCCGGGACAUGUGUGAAAGACAACGGCUGUAACAAGAGAGGGAAUAACAGUAAUAAUAUCGACCGAUCAGCGGUGAAGGGACUGCGUGUAUGUAAAGGUUCCAUAAAGACGUGUUGCUGCGAUAAGAAGAGGCCUUUAUUUCACGAGGUCACCAUGUUUAACCCCUUGUCAACAUUCCUAGUUACUGCACUUGUGCCAGCAAUAUGCCUCUUCUCGUUUACCAGAGAGCAAGAAGGGCAGAAUAUCUUUGAAGCAGCAUUUCAAGAUUGUAGGCUCAAGUCUGCUACGUGUUUCAUACGAUUGUCGGAGAAUACAGGUUAUAUUUCCCUAAAUGGCAUCAGCUGACUGAUCUUUGUAAUGGAGACGUGUUUUCUUUAAAGCACGAAGAAUAUUAUGUAGAGGAGCCUCUGGCAGGAAAGCGUUAAGGCUGGUUUACUUUAUUCUGACCCCGCUAUGCAGUAUGUGGGAAGAGUGGCGCAUAAUAACAGCGGAAACGGAGGGAGAGCCUAAACAAGCGAAAAUGUAAGAGGACUUCUUUAAAAGGAAUUCUCAUGUAACCGUCAAAUGGGGCAAGUGCAUUAGUCACACUGUGGAAGGACCAAGGGCCAUAGGACGUGACGUACAGCACGGGUAAUAUGAAGAUAGUCCCUGAGAUAACACGGUCGUCAGUGAUCAACGCUCAGCGCACAGGAGUGGUCUUACUGUUGUACUGGGUAGUCGUCCCAUGGCGGCAAGACAGCAAGAAUGAGUAAAUAAAAUGACUUCACGUUGCACGAAUACCGUGAUAUGUAUUUUGUAAUCGGGCAUACGCUGCAGCCAGGAAAUAUCCAGCAUGCCGGCAUCCAAUCAGUAAUGCUUUGCCGGCUGGACGACAGAAUGAGGGAGACUGGCAGCGUCCUACCAACAUCACUGCUGGGUAAGGGCCGUCCGUGCACUCACCGGUUACCAUCAGUCGAAGAGAUGUGGUGGCAGCGAGGAACUUCCCGAGGGCUGGGUGUCGAACAUCACGCUGUCAAUUUAAUCCUCCGGGAUGAAGACCUGUACUCAUGGGUCCAAAUUCCCAUGUCUCAUGGUUAUCAUCAUCGACUGUGAUACUAAUUGUGGCUUUUACGUAAUCUGGGCUUUUUGGAGCACAUCUUAUGGUCGGACGAAGCAUAAUCUCCAUGUGACACCUGAGUGAGGGCAUCAAGUUCGCUGGAGCAUCAGUAUAUGGGCCGGUAUCGUUGGCAGUUGUGUGGUUGGGUGAUACCUACUACUCGGUCGCAUUAAUGUCCCUGCUUAUUGGGUUGUACUGCAGGAAAUGCUACCGGUGCUAUAUGAAGAUGCACCGUUGGUGGCUGUACGCGGUAUGUGGUUUGUUCCGACGCAUUUUAGUGCACAUACCCAACUGCGCCUCAACACUCAAGUUUCCUGACUAGUAGCCAAGCAGUGGCGGCUCUGUAUCUAGCACGGCCUGCGGUGUCACCGGACCUGAACCCUCUGGCCUUCUUCCAUUGGGGACACCUGAAAUAAAUUGUUUACAGGGAUGAGAGCCGACUGACAUUUAAGACAUGACAGCAAAGUUUCGUGGUGCUGUGGUGACCAUUGAUGCAGAUAUGUUACGACGUGUGCAAGCUAAUAUUCCAUGACGUGUGGUUGCGUGUCGGCGAAUGCGUGGUGGACGCUGUAACUACUGCUCUCUCAAUUAUGUAUCUGCUCUUCUGUGUCGGCAAGCGUUGUACGCUUCACAAGCGAUGUUCAUUCUGACAUGUGUGAAAUGGGAAUUCAUAUUCGCUCUAUUCUUUUGUAGCUCAUUUGUUCAUGAGUGUUACAUGCAGUUUCUUUGUAGUUAUUCAACCCUCCGUGUGUCUCCCUGUCUCUCAGCGUCACUACUAAUUUAUUUCCUCCUUAUGAUCGGUGCGACUCUUGCAUCAUUAAAUUCCUUUAACAUUUUCGUUUUUUUUGACAUCUUAUCUGUUCCCAUUGUUAUUAUGCGCCAUUUUCCCCACAUUCUGUAGUUAGAACUUCGGAUAGUACCUUACUACCCGCCAGUACGCCAUAUAACACACUACAAACAUUGUUUGGCUGAAAAUGGCAGUAAUUCAUCUGCCAGUCCUGCGAAUUCGAAUCCUAUUCCUCUCUGUCUCCAAUUACUAGUUGACAUGCAUUCGCAUGAAUGCCGCAAGUGAUAUGGGCACAGAAACAUGACUGAAUGCUCAGGAGUAAUGGACCCAUCUGUGAACAAGAGACGUUUAAUUUGAAUCCCUGGAGAGAAGGGAAUCAUUUCACAUGCUUAACCAUUUGCGCUGCGAUUUGGUGUUACAGGGACCUUCUUUUGUUUGUAUAUUUCCAUGGUAACGUAUAAUUUCUCAUUGUCGAAAAGUCAAAAAAAGCUGUAACUGUUGAUAGA
Molecule: non-coding RNA, 2556 nt
Organism: Zootermopsis nevadensis
Lineage: Eukaryota; Metazoa; Arthropoda; Insecta; Blattodea; Termopsidae
Source: RefSeq, a predicted model, not a curated record